AAAAUUGCAGUGUCUCUCAAUGAAGCAUGUAACACCUGCACGAAAGAUACGUCUGUAGAGCUCUGCUCGAUUUGCAAGGAAAAGGUGAGAACGGCAAUUACAAGGAGGGUGCACGGACUAAUGGACGGCGACUUCGGAGGAUUCUCAGAGGCAUUGGUCCAAAAACUUCGCCAACAACUAGACACCGAGAUGGACGGCCACAACUGGACGGAACUUGCCCGGGACCUACUUGGGGAGGGUCUUCGGUCAAACGACAUCGCUCGUCAAGAAAGUCCCGCAAAGGAGACUCUCAAAGUCUACUUUGCAGGCUGUCGAGCUGAUCAUACUCCAGACAAGCUAG
Molecule: long non-coding RNA, 340 nt
Organism: Patiria miniata (bat star)
Lineage: Eukaryota; Metazoa; Echinodermata; Asteroidea; Valvatida; Asterinidae
Exons: 3
Source: RefSeq, a predicted model, not a curated record